RNAcentral lists this ribosomal RNA (365 nucleotides) under uncultured bacterium. RNAcentral describes it as "bacterial SSU rRNA". It matches the Rfam family "Bacterial small subunit ribosomal RNA", at positions 29 to 420 of the family's 1533-position model. The record is from RNAcentral.
AACGAACGCUGGCGGCAUGCCUAACACAUGCAAGUCGAACGAGACCUUCGGGUCUAGUGGCGCACGGGUGCGUAGCGCGUGGGAACCUGCCUUUAGGUUCGGAAUAACUCAGAGAAAUUUGAGCUAAUACCGGAUAAUGUCUUCGGACCAAAGAUUUAUCGCCUUUAGAUGGGCCCGCGUUGGAUUAGCUAGUUGGUGGGUAAAGGCCUACCAAGGCGACGAUCCAUAGCUGGUCUGAGAGGAUGAUCAGCCACACUGGGACUGAGUCACGGCCCAGACUCCUACGGGAGGCAGCAGUGGGGAAUAUUGGACAAUGGGCGAAAGACCUGAUCCAGCAAUAGCCGCGUGAGUGAUGAAGGCCGUUA